UCUAGAGAGACUGCCAGGGAUAACCUGGAGGAAGGUGGGGAUGACGUCAAAUCAUCAUGCCCCUUAUGCUUAGGGCUACACACGUGCUACAAUGGGUAGUACAGAGGGUUGCCAAGCCGUAAGGUGGAGCUAAUCCCUUAAAGCUACUCUCAGUUCGGAUUGUAGGCUGAAACUCGCCUACAUGAAGCUGGAGUUACUAGUAAUCGCAGAUCAGAAUGCUGCGGUGAAUGCGUUCCCGGGUCUUGUACACACCGCCCGUCACACCACGGGAGUUGGGGACGCCCGAAGCCGAUUAUCUAACCUUUUGGAAGAAGUCGUCGAAGGUGGAAUCAAUAACUGGGGUGAAGUCGUAACAAGGUAGCCGUAUCGGAAGGUGCGGCUGGAUCACCUCCUUUCUAAGGAGA
RNAcentral lists this ribosomal RNA (404 nucleotides) under Clostridioides difficile. Its description in RNAcentral is "bacterial SSU rRNA". It matches the Rfam family "Bacterial small subunit ribosomal RNA", at positions 1139 to 1533 of the family's 1533-position model. The record is from RNAcentral. Lineage: Bacteria; Bacillati; Bacillota; Clostridia; Peptostreptococcales; Peptostreptococcaceae.